UACUUCAGUGACAUGACAUCUGAGAAUGGAACUGGCGUCACAGUCAUCAGACACGACUCGGAGGAGCAGGAAGAAGUCGUGGGCUACGAAGGAGCUGGCGAAUAUGUUCUGAGACUUAACUACAACGUCUCCCUCGACCACGCCAUCGCCAUCAUCGAUGCCAGUGAGAACUGCCGACAGUUUGUACAAUGGAAGUGCAAGGCCGCCUUGAUUCACAACCCCAAUGCCAAUGGUGUCAUCACUACCGGGUGGCGCAACAGGACUGGCGGAAUUGCAGACUACUUUGGUGAUGCCACUCCCGGAAGUGGUAUGUGUACCUGUGGCAUGACUGGGUCAUGUGCAGACCCGACAAGGCAUGCAACUGCGACAAGAACGACGAAGUCUGGAGGGAAGACUCCGGCUACCUGUCCUACAAGCCGGACCUGCCUGUCACUGAGUUCCUGGCGGGGGACACAGGUGGAAUGAUGGAGGGAGGAUAUAAAACAAUCGGACCUUUGUUCUGUUGGGGCGUACUUACCUAGACACCGGCUGUCAGUUUCCCAGCCAAUCAGCGAUCAGAAGACUCAGAAAACAUCACGUGACAUAACCUCGGACCGCUCAUAAUCUAGGCUACAAUAACAAAACACAUGAUCACAAUCACUUCUAGGCGGCGAUGACGAGGCCGGAUACGCAACAGUUGGCAGAAUUCUUUGCACAGGCGUUGCAACCUGACAUGCGCAGGUGACGACGGAACCGAGGCGGGCGCCUUUAAGGUCGGCCCUGUGGAAUGCUACGGGACUUCCUCCGCGGAUGUCAGCGAUACCUAAUCGACCAUUCUUGAUCUGUUUCUCUCUUUCUUCGCAGCUGAUGCUCUUUGCUACAUUUGAGUUAAAACUGUUUUCUUAACUAGGUCUUAUUUUGUUCCCUUUACGUGCUAUUAAUUUGGAAUGGAGACUGUCCAGUUGAUAGGGAGCUUAUGGUGUAAGAUAUGGAGUCUGCUUCUUGCAGAGCGGAAAGGAUUGCAGUUUGCAAGACGAGAGAUUCCAUAUGUUGUUGAAACAUGUUGACUGUUGAUGUUAUUUUUGUUACUGUAAACUUUGUCUAUCUAAAUAUAUCGAUGUUGCAAAGU
RNAcentral lists this unclassified non-coding RNA (1108 nucleotides) under Haliotis rubra (blacklip abalone). RNAcentral's name for it is "contactin-associated protein-like 2, transcript variant X2". The record is from RNAcentral. Lineage: Eukaryota; Metazoa; Mollusca; Gastropoda; Lepetellida; Haliotidae.